AAGUAGGAAAGGUUUUGUGGAAGGAGUGCUGUAGCUGAGAAUAUUUACAGGCUUGUGAAGCUUUGGUGCUCACCAACGAGGGUAUGGAACAGGUAAAUGAUAAAGUCAAGUCUUCGAUUCAUUAAUUUGGAUACCUAUGAACAUAAUGGACUAAAGUUUGUCUUGUGGUUAACAUACAAGAUAGAACUUGUGUAAGGAAUUAAAACUUAAACAAGAUUGUUCACAGAAACAAAUGCUCUCUACACCAGUGAAUAUUCUGCUUUAAUGACGCAAUGAAGUCAGAAGACUAUUCAGCGGCAAAGUCAGUCACUGGUAAGAAAUAAGGGGGAAGAAAUAGCAACAAGGUUAUGUAGUUCUUAUCAGAUGCACUUACCUCUCUGAUUAACGUCGCUGAAAUCAGUCCAUGAUAAGAAGCUUCUCAGUGUAAGAAAAAUAGGCAGCAUAAACAAGACUUACCUAGACCCAUCUAUUAUUUUCAUCUAGUAACGUAUACUCCAGAAAAAAGUAUCGAGGCACCAGACUUUAGUUGUAGAGAAACUGAAAUUAUUCUUCUGAUUGAUAUUUGCUAUUUCCUGUUACUCUCUGAUGAAAGAAAAUAUAGUUCCUUACUAUACAAAAUCUGUAAUAUUCAUUCACCAUGUAAAUUAC
This is a long non-coding RNA of Gymnogyps californianus (California condor), 648 nucleotides long. RefSeq lists it as uncharacterized. The transcript is spliced from 4 exons. The record is from RefSeq and is a predicted model, not a curated record. NCBI's taxonomy places the organism in Eukaryota, Metazoa, Chordata, Aves, Accipitriformes, Cathartidae.